AUGGUGUUCUGCCGAGUCUGGCUGUUAAUCUCAACCAGCAACAUCAAGAUCAAAUCACCUGUUACUGUCGAACAAGAGAACAUCGCAGUUCAAGCAGUGGGGAUCAAGAAAGAUUUCAGUGUUGAUCUAGUGUUUGACCAGGAGUCAGUGAGGCCAAUCCUCCGAUCUUCACUUGACGGGCACAACGUCUGCAUCCUUGCUUUUGGCCAAACUGGGAGGAGGACCUAUACAAUGGAAGGAACUAGGGAUAACCUUGGCCUUGUGCCUCGAGCGAUCCAGGAACUGUUUUCUCAUGAUGCUCAAGAUACUUCAUGCCUUGGGAGGAUACAUGAUGCUUGA
This 339-nucleotide ribosomal RNA is filed under the name Triticum aestivum (bread wheat). RNAcentral's name for it is "partial small subunit ribosomal RNA". The record is from RNAcentral. Lineage: Eukaryota; Viridiplantae; Streptophyta; Magnoliopsida; Poales; Poaceae.